RNAcentral lists this ribosomal RNA (464 nucleotides) under uncultured bacterium. Its description in RNAcentral is "partial 16S ribosomal RNA". It matches the Rfam family "Bacterial small subunit ribosomal RNA", at positions 29 to 507 of the family's 1533-position model. The record is from RNAcentral.
ACGAACGCUGGCGGCGUGCUUAACACAUGCAAGUCGAACGGAAAGGCCCCUUUGGGGGUACUCGAGUGGCGAACGGGUGAGUAACACGUGAGUAACCUGCCCUUGACUUCGGGAUAACUUCAGGAAACUGGGGCUAAUUCCGGAUAGGAAUCCUUGCUGCAUGGUGGGGGUUGGAAAGCUUCGGCGGUUUUGGAUGGACUCGCGGCUUAUCAGCUUGUUGGUGGGGUAGUGGCUUACCAAGGCUUUGACGGGUAGCCGGCCUGAGAGGGCGACCGGCCACAUUGGGACUGAGAUACGGCCCAGACUCCUACGGGAGGCAGCAGUGGGGAAUAUUGCACAAUGGGCGGAAGCCUGAUGCAGCAACGCCGCGUGCGGGAUGACGGCCUUCGGGUUGUAAACCGCUUUCAGCAGGGGCGAAGCUUGUGGUGACGGUACCUGCAGAAGAAGCACCGGCUAACUACGUG